RNAcentral lists this ribosomal RNA (490 nucleotides) under uncultured bacterium. RNAcentral's name for it is "partial 16S ribosomal RNA". It matches the Rfam family "Bacterial small subunit ribosomal RNA", at positions 30 to 507 of the family's 1533-position model. The record is from RNAcentral.
AUUGAACGCUGGCGGCAGGCCUAACACAUGCAAGUCGAACGGUAACAGGAAGAAGCUUGCUUCUUUGCUGACGAGUGGCGGACGGGUGAGUAAUGUCUGGGAAACUGCCUGAUGGAGGGGGAUAACUACUGGAAACGGUAGCUAAUACCGCAUAACGUCGCAAGACCAAAGAGGGGGACCUUCGGGCCUCUUGCCAUCGGAUGUGCCCAGAUGGGAUUAGCUAGUAGGUGGGGUAACGGCUCACCUAGGCGACGAUCCCUAGCUGGUCUGAGAGGAUGACCGGCCACACUGGAACUGAGACACGGUCCAGACUCCUACGGGAGGCAGCAGUGGGGAAUAUUGAACAAUGGGCGCAAGCCUGCUGCAGCCAUGCCGCGUGUAUGAAGAAGGCCUUCGGGUUGUAAAGUACUUUCAGCGGGGAGGAAGGGAGUAAAGUUAAUACCUUUGCUUAUUGACGUUACCCGCAGAAGAAGCACCGGCUAACUCCGUG